UCUACGGGUGGCAGCAGUGGGGAAUAUUGCACAAUGGGGGAAACCCUGAAGCAGCGACGCCGCGUGAGCGAAGAAGUAUUUCGGUAUGUUAAGCCUUAUCAGCAGGGAAGCAAAUGACGGUACCUGAGGAAGAAGCUCCGGCUAAAUACGUGCCAGCAGCCGCGGUAAGACGUAUGGAGCAAGCUUUAUCCGGAUUUACUGGGUGUAAAGGGAGCGCAGGCGGCUUUGCAAGUCUGAUGUGAAAUACCGGGGCUCAACCCAGGAGCUGCAUUUGAAACUGUGAGGCUAGAGUGUCGGAGAGGCAGGCGGAAUGCCUGGUGUAGCGGUGAAAUGCGUAGAUAUCAGGAGGAACACCAGUGGCGAAGGCAGCCUGCUGGACGAUAACUGACGCUGAGGCUCGAAAGCGUGGGGAGCAAACAGGAUUAGAUACCCGAGUAGUC
RNAcentral lists this ribosomal RNA (440 nucleotides) under uncultured bacterium. RNAcentral's name for it is "partial 16S ribosomal RNA". It matches the Rfam family "Bacterial small subunit ribosomal RNA", at positions 338 to 795 of the family's 1533-position model. The record is from RNAcentral.